This 5102-nucleotide long non-coding RNA is filed under the name Daucus carota (carrot). RNAcentral describes it as "long non-coding RNA (DCAR_LNC003439)". The record is from RNAcentral. Lineage: Eukaryota; Viridiplantae; Streptophyta; Magnoliopsida; Apiales; Apiaceae.
UUAUAGAGUCAUAAAUAACAACAAGCCUUUUAACAGUAGGUGAAAGUUCUGAUAGAACAGAAGCCACAGGCUGUCGAAGGAGCAAGGCAGCAUCGAAAGACGGCUGCAGGUGGGAAGGGAAUUUAACAGGGUCAUGGGGGUUAGGAUCAGGGGAAUGAAAAGCAGGGGUUGGAAACUCAUGGAAAUGAAUCAAUUGGGAAUGAGUUGACAGAGGAUCCCACCCCUGGAUUCGAAGCCUGGCCUGGCGGCUGUGCGUGGCAGAAGCGACGUAGUGGACAGGAAUAUUGUAGGAGGAGAUGAGGCGUGAGAGGUGGAGGAGCUGGUUGAGAUGGCCUUGAGCAGGGAAAGGGACCAUCACUACCACUACAUUUUCAUUGGCUUGCAUGUCUUGGACUCCCAUUUGUUUUGACUAGCUUUAGAAAUCAGAAUACAAGUAUCUUCUCGGUGCAAUUUUCUUGUAUUAUUAUAGGAAUUUUUCUACUGAUACUUUUUUUGUUUUUUUGCGUAUCAUUGCCGAAUCAUUUUGUUGUUACUUUUUGUUUUUAUGAGAUCUGUUGUUCGUUUUAUUUUUGUACUGAAAUGUGUCGUCACCGCUAACGUUACAAUCUGCAGAGUGUUGCUUUAGUACUUGAACUCAUGUUGCCUACUUCGAUUUGAAAGAUUUGCAGCCAUCUCCGAUCAAGGGUUGGCAUAAACUUCGGGAAACCGUACAAUCUGAAUAUCCGAUCCGAUAUAUUGUCGAAAAAAUUCGAAAAUUCGGAUAUUUUAUUAAAAAAUCAGACCGAAUAUUCCGUCCAGAUUUUUUAUAUAAAUUUGAAUUGGGAUCGAGAUCAUCAAAUUCGGAUAUGGUCGAAAAAAUCUGAAAAUUCGGAGAUUUUCAAAAAAGUUGGACAAAAUAUCUCAUUUGGAUUUUUUUAAUAUAAAUUCGGAUCCGAAUCACUAAAAGAUAAGUUUACAGAUACUAAAAUUUAGAACUUUGCCUUUGAAAUGGCUGCUAAUAAAUUUAUAAUUCCAGCUUAAACCAGAUCUCAGUUGAAUAAACUUGUUUUUAGUCUUGUGCUCAAACAUAACUUCUAAUUUGUUGAGAGAUCAUUUAAUUUGCUGAAUGAUAAAAGAAUAAAAUGAUGAAUCGAGUUAGAAUAUUAUGAUUUUCAGAUAUCAUAUCAUGUGUUUGGUUAGGUGUCGGAAUUAAUGUAUUUAAUAUUUUUAAAAAAUAAAUAAAUUAUUUAUUUAAAUCAAUUAAUAAUAAUAAUAAUAAUAAUAAUAAUAUAUAAGUAUUUAAAAAAGUAAAAAAAAAAAAAAUAACGUUCAUUAUCAAACCCCUCUCUCGUGCCCAUCACCAUCUCUGUAUCAAAAAUUCAUACCGACCAGUUUGAUACAUUAGUUCCAAAAUUUAGUUUGUGACGUCGUAUGAAUUUGGAUCUAACAAAAUUCAUGCCUGAUUCCGGCCAAACCACAUGUGCAAGAGAGAGUAUCAAGCUUCUAAAAUCUCGAUGAAACUGAUGACAUCGACAUGCAUGACUUUUCCAAUCCUGCCAAAUAUCUUGUUUUCUUCGUCAAAUAUUCUAUACUGCUCCACACAUCACUUGUGGUUGUCGCUAAAUCAAUCAUAGAUUCCAAAGUGUUUAACUUUCUUCGUCUACUUGUAAAGUUUCUGGUUCAACUGAAACUCUUUCCUUCUACGCAAUUGUAAAAAACUAAUAUUAACAAUUAAUAAGAAUUUAGUCAAAGUUGGUAUAGUUUGGACAUAAUGAAAUGCACCCAUCAACUUCUGAAUUCAUAAAUUACACAAACCAUUGAGAUAUUGUAACUUACUGCAAUGAAAACAGAGAAGAGACUGUUUAAGAUAGCUACAAUUAUGAACUUGUAAUGUGGUCGAUAAAAGAAUCCAAUUCCAGGCCUUCUGCAACAGAUUUCUUGAUUUCAUUUCUCAACUCCGCCGCUCUUUUCCUCAUUUCAUCUCCUUCAUUGGAUGCUAUCAACUUUUUAACUGCAUUUUCAAUAUGGAAUGAUUCGACUAAGUCGUUUUCUUGAGUCCAUUCCUUGACAUCAAUGCCUAGUUUGAGUACCUUGGUUAUUAGCAGAGCAUUUCGAGGCUGGUCCGAAUGCAUUGGCCAUGUAACCAUAGGCACUCCCAUUGUCAGGCUUUCUAAGCAUGAAUUCCAUCCGCAGUGACUCAUAAACCCCCCUGUGGAGGCAUGUGCCAAGAUAUCCAACUGGGGUGCCCAGUCUCUCACUAUCAUCCCUUGUCUGGUUUCAGAGAUUCUGUCUUCGUACCUCGUUGGCAAAUCAUAUUUUCUGACAUCUCCGCUGAAUAUAUCUCCUUUAUCCGCGUCUCUCAGUACCCAAACAAAUUUUUGGCCACUAUUUUCUAGGCCAAGUGCAAUGGCAUGGAUUUGUUCAUCAGUUAGGGUAGUUGUUGUCCCAAAAGAAACAUAUAUCACUGAAUUCAGAGCUUGAUUGUCUAGCCACUGUAAGCAUUUGUGUCGUAGCUGGUCUUGUUUCUGGCAAAUAUCUACAGGGUUGAAGGGUCCAAUGGCCCAAUGUUUCCUGUCUGCCUGGUAUUUCUGGAGCAUAUCAAAGUAAUGGCCUUCAAUUGCUCUGGUAGUAUUGUAAAGUUCACCAGAGCUGUUUUUGAGGUGAAUUUGCUGUUUUUCCCAGAAAGCCGAGAUUUCUGGAGUCACGUAAACUUCCAGAGAAUGGAGUAGUUGAAGUAUAUGGUCAUCAUCUGAACUAGGCCUUCCUGCUAUUUCCCAAAUGUAGGAAUAAUUAAAGAAAGCAGAAGUACUCUGAAAAACAUACUUGUCAACAUUAGGUAAGGAAAUAGAAUCUUGUACCACUGCAGCCAUAAAAUAGUCAUGAAUGAUGAUAAUUUUACGAGCAGUGGUGGAAAGAGAGGUAAGGAAGUUGCAGACAGGCUCGCGGAGGUAAAUGGAGGCUUCAAAUGCUGGCUGAAGUUGAGUAGGAAACUUAUUUGGAGCAUUGGGGUUGGGAGCUGGACACUGAAAAGCUGGGAUUGGGAAUUCAUGAAUGUAAAUAUUGUCAUAGGCUAGAAGGUCCCAUCCCUGGUGCCGACUGCUGGCUUGGCGGAUAUGAGUUGUGGUACUGACAUAGUGGACUGGUAUGUUAUAAGAGGAGAUGAGGCGGGAGAGAUGGAGGAGUUGGCCUAAGUGGCCUUGUGCUAGUAGAGGCACCAUUACCACUUUUACAUCGGCAUCCUUGGCCAUUGCAGCUAGCUAGUGUAGUAAAACCUUUCUACCAAGUUGCUGCUUAAAUAGCAUUAGCAUGUUUAUAUGAAGGGUCGCAAUGCUGCAUUGCCGUUUUGCUAUUCGGUAUUACUCUGAAAAUGGGAUUGAACCAACAAGGCAGUUUGGCAUUACUGUACUAAAGCCGUCCAGGAGAUACCAUUAUCAACACAUCAUGAAAAGUAGACUGCGAUGUGGACGUCAAGCAUAAGACCAAAAAUUGUCUUUCAUAAUAUGAAUGAUAUAGGAAAAUUUAAUUAUUUUUGUUGCAAAGUUUGGUUCCACAGGGGCUGUGAAAGCACAAGGAACACUUGCAAAAUAAUAUCAAAUGUCAAUUUUGCAUACGGCAAUAUUCCUUGUAAAUACACCAGGACAUUUAUGUAUUGCAUAAGAUGGUGCCUCUAGGAUAACUAGAAUAGCGAAUGACGAAGACUGCCUGGGUUGAUUCCAGUGCUCUACCAUCUAAUGAAAUUGGAUACUAUCUUUACUGUACCACAAAUAAUGAAUGGUAAUGAAAUUGCAUAAAGAUAAUGAAGAGUAUGAAUGUGGAAGGCAUUAUUGCUAUUGUUUUGACCUUUACAAGGACAACAAGACCUCAUACAUGACAACCCUAUGCGAAUCAAAUUUCUACCUACAUAUGUGAGCGAUGAAAUCAUCAAAUUCUCUACGAGUAUCUCCUCCUGCCACCGACUUUGUAAUAGCAGUACUCAACUCAACCGCCCUCCUCCUUAACUCUUCUCCUUGUUUUGACGCCAUCAACUCUCUAACAGCUUUCUCAAUUGUCAAAGACUCCACAAACUCAUCCCAGUGUGCCCAAUCCUUCACCACAACGCCCAUUUUCAGCACCUUAGUAACCAACAAGGCAUUAUGAGGCUGGUCAGAAUGCAUAGGCCAUGCUGCCAUAGGCACUCCCAUACUCAUACUCUCCAUGCACGAAUUCCAUCCACAAUGACUCAUAAAUCCUCCUAUGGACGCGUGAGCCAGAAUCUCCAGUUGUGGCGCCCAAUCUCUCAAUAUAAUCCCCUGUCCUUUUAAUUUUAUUCUUUCUUCAUACCCUUCUGGCAAUUGACAUACUCUUGUAUCUCCCACAAAUAUAUCUCCUCUGUCAGCAUCUCGCAAAACCCAAAUGAAUUUCUGGCCACUGUUUUCUAGUCCAACCGCAAUGGCAUGGAUCUGUUCAUUGGUUAGACUAGUUGUUGUUCCAAAAGAAACAUAUAUUACAGAAUCAGGAGCUUGAUUGUCUAGCCAGUCCGAGUAGUUGUACCUCUGCUUUGUUGAAUUCUUGGUCAUCUCAAUGGGAUUGAAUGGUCCAAUAGCCCAUUGUUUGGCAUUUAUCUUAGCAAGCACAUCUAAAAAUGGAGCUUCAAUUGCUCGACAAGUAUUGAAAAGGGCACCUGAGCUGUAUUUGCGGUACUCACUCUGGCUAUCAACGAGUUUCCUCAUUUCUGAGGUCAUGGUAGUGGCAGUUCCCUUAGAAGGUAUCUUUUCUGCAACAUCAUCAUCAAUCUCAGAAGGUCUUCCCAACGCUUCCCAGUAGUAAGAGGAGAUGCAGAACGUGGAGACGGACUGAAAAGAGUAGGCCUCUCCGUUUGGUAUAGAAGCCACGUCCUGAAUAACCGAUGGAAAUAUUGAAUCAUAAAUUACAACAAGCCUUUUGGCCGUAGGUGAAAGUUUGGAUAGAACAGAAGCCACAGGCUGUCGAAGGAGCAAGGCAGCAUCGAAAGACGGCUGCAGGUGGGAAGGGAAUUUAACAGGGUCAUGGGGGUUGGGAUCAGGGGAGUGAAAAGCAGGGGUUGGAAAUUCAAGGAAAUGAAUCAAUUGGGAAUGAGUUGACAGAGGAUCCCAUCCCUGGAUUCG